Molecule: unclassified non-coding RNA, 2837 nt
Filed under: Hevea brasiliensis (rubber tree)
Lineage: Eukaryota; Viridiplantae; Streptophyta; Magnoliopsida; Malpighiales; Euphorbiaceae
Source: RNAcentral
AAAAAAAGUAAUAAUUGAUUAAUUUUGUGGAUAGGCGUGGGAGCCCAUGGCGAUGGGUAAGUAAGUGCUGGAGAGUAUUGACAAUAAUACUAAUAUACGCACCCGAAGGAGAAUGAGUGACGUGUAACAAUCGUAAUUGUGUUAGAGGACAAGAACAGCUGGUUGUUUCCCUCUAUAUACCCUCUCGGCUUCUCCCAAUCAAUUGUGUAUGCACUUACGGAAAUUAAUCGUGCGUUACUAAAUUAUUUUCUUAUUUUAUUUACUUAUUAUGGUUUUACUCUAAUAAUUAUAAAAUUUAUAUAUAUUUUUUUGGUUUUGGCCGUGGAUUUCUAUGGUGGAAAACGCAAGGCUCAGCUGGAAAAACAAACAGAAAGUACCUCUCCCUUCUCUCUCUCUCCUCUGCUAUCAGCUUGUGUCUCUGUUCUGCUUCUAUCGCCCUCUCUCAGAGGCCAAUAGCUAGAGAUAUAGAGCGCGCAGAGAGACGGAGAGGGAGAGGUGGGAGACCAGAGCGCAGCAAAGCACCGGGGCCUGAUUCAGCGCCCUGGUUUGGUUUCAUGGAUUCAUCUAUUUUCUCUCUCCUGUAAGGUCGCUUCGUUCCCACGGCAUUUCUGCUUUCAAACAGACGAAAAUAUCGAUUCGUGCUUCUUUCUUGGGUUUUAAUCUCUCCAUUUCUCAUCUCCACAGCUCAAUCUGGCAGACCUUAAAGGAACCAUUGCGUUGCUUCGAUCCUUUCUUUUCUCCUUCUUGCCAGAUCUCGUCGAUUUCAAAUCUAAGAAAAAGAAGAGGAGAGGGAUUUACCGUGGGAAAAUGCUCUGGAUUAUGCGUUUCUCAGGCUUCUUUUCUGCAGCUAUGAUCAUGAUUAUCCUCUCACCCUCUCUCCAGUCCUUCUCUCCUGCUGAGGCCAUUCGAUCUUCUCACCUCGACAGCUUCUUGGGAAAUCUUGCCGCCUAUUCGCCGGACCGAUUCUCCUUUCGAAAAGCGGCUGUAUUCCGCAAUGCCGAUAAAUGUAGCUCCAGUGAUAACCUAAUCUCAGGGAAUACCGGUGUCUGCGAUCCUAACUUGGUACACGUUGCCAUUACACUCGAUGUUGAGUAUCUCCGGGGGUCAAUCGCCGCUGUACACUCCAUAUUGCAGCAUUCAUUGUGUCCAGAGAGUGUUUUCUUUCACUUUUUGGUUUCGGAGACCAAUCUGGAAUACCUAGUGCGGUCUACUUUCCCUCAAUUGAAGUUCAAGGUGUAUUAUUUCGAUCCAGAUAUUGUGCGAAAUCUGAUCUCCACUUCCGUUAGGCAAGCUCUUGAACAGCCGCUCAAUUACGCUAGGAAUUACUUGGCUGAUCUGCUGGAGCCUUGCGUUCGUAGAGUGAUCUACUUGGACUCCGAUUUGGUUGUGGUUGAUGAUAUUGCAAAGCUGUGGACUACGAAUUUGGGUUCUAGAACAAUCGGUGCCCCGGAAUACUGCCACGCAAACUUCACGAAAUAUUUCACGGCGAGUUUCUGGUCGAAUACAAGGUUUUCCAGUACUUUUAGUGGUAGGAAAUCGUGCUACUUCAACACUGGAGUAAUGGUGAUAGAUCUGGCAAAGUGGAGACGGGUUGGGUACACAAAGCGGAUUGAGAGGUGGAUGGAGAUCCAGAAGAGUGACCGGAUUUAUGAGCUGGGGUCACUGCCGCCGUUCCUCUUGGUUUUUGCCGGACACGUGGCGCCGAUCGAGCACCGGUGGAACCAACACGGAUUAGGUGGUGAUAAUGUGAGAGGCAGCUGUCGUGAUCUGCAUCCAGGUGCAGUUAGCCUUCUACAUUGGUCCGGCAGUGGCAAGCCCUGGCUCAGGAUCGACUCGAGGCAACCUUGCCCGCUUGAUGCUUUAUGGGCUCCAUACGACUUGUACGGACACUCACAUUGAAUCGCAGUAGUCGCCGACGGUGGAGUGCAAUGACCAAAAAGGUGGAGGGGGGCAUGUGAUGUGAGCGAAGUUGCUAGUCGGUUGUCCAUUUUGUGUAAUGGCCGAAAAGAACCGAGUGCUCGUCUUCCAAAGCAAAGGAGUGUGGUGCUGGCUGGCUGGAGGAAAAGCUUGAAUUAGCAAUCGGAAGAAUCUAAGAGGUGGUGAUAGUAGCAAAGUCAUGCCGACGGGAGUGUAUAGUUUUUGGAUGGUGUUGUAUUCGUUGGCGGCAGCGGAAGGCUUGUGAACAACCUCAUUAUUUGUCCCUCUGCACAAUUUAGUGUUGUUCUGGAUGAAUCUACCAUGCGUGAUCGAAUUAAUAAUAUAUUUAUAGUUUAUCCAGCUAACAAAUAAGGCCAUUAGAAAUUAUUAAUAUUAUUUUUGGGUUUAAUAGAUGUUAGGAUGUUGAACAAUCGAAACUUAAUUGCAGCAUUGAAAGGGACCCAAAAUUUAUUAUUUGUUGCGUGGGAACUGUCCAAAGUUGAGGUGGGAACCGAUUCCUUCUGCCCUGGCAUCACACGUGGCCAUUUGCUUCCUGGAAUCAGCUGCGUAACAUGUGGUCUUAAACUCUUUAGUUUAUAACACCAUUGGAUUGUAUUUAAUUGUUGAUCUGUUAACUCACCAGUUUUAUGCUCUGGUUCUACGUUGUUGGAUGCUUUUAAUCGUAUUGCCUUCCGAUUGUUAAGGCUGCCGAGAUAAACUUAAUUAAUUUGUUAGGAAAACUGAUUAGGACUUGGCAACAGCCUCUCAGCUGUGAAAUCAUAAAGAUAUCAAUCUGAACUUGACAGAUUUGUCUUGGCUAAUUGUUCUAAUCUCAUGCCAAAAUAAUUGUUUUAAAUUUUAAUCAUUAAGUAGGGUUAGAUGGUUCCAGAAUGCAAAUGGAUUAGCCGGGCAAUGAUACG